GAGGUGGGAGGAUCGCUUGAGCCUGGGAGGUUGAGAUUGCAGUGAGCUGAAAUUACACCACUGCACUCCAGCCUGAGUGACAGAGCAAGCCCCUGUCUC
This 99-nucleotide microRNA precursor is filed under the name Cebus imitator (Panamanian white-faced capuchin). RNAcentral describes it as "miRNA (ENSCCAG00000008085.1)". The record is from RNAcentral. Lineage: Eukaryota; Metazoa; Chordata; Mammalia; Primates; Cebidae.